AUUGAACGCUGGCGGCAGGCCUAACACAUGCAAGUCGAGCGGAUGAAGGGAGCUUGCUCCUGGAUUCAGCGGCGGACGGGUGAGUAAUGCCUAGGAAUCUGCCUGGUAGUGGGGGAUAACGUCCGGAAGCGGGCGCUAAUACCGCAUACGUCCUGAGGGAGAAAGUGGGGGAUCUUCGGACCUCACGCUGUCAGAUGAGCCUAGGUCGGAUUAGCUAGUUGGUGGGGUAAAGGCCUACCAAGGCGACGAUCCGUAACUGGUCUGAGAGGAUGAUCAGUCACACUGGAACUGAGACACGGUCCAGACUCCUACGGGAGGCAGCAGUGGGGAAUAUUGGACAAUGGGCGAAAGCCUGAUCCAGCCAUGCCGCGUGUGUGAAGAAGGUCUUCUGAUUGUAAAGCACUUUAAGUUGGGAGGAAGGGCAGUAAGUUAAUACCUUGCUGUUUUGACGUUACCAACAGAAUAAGCACCGGCUAACUUCGUG
RNAcentral lists this ribosomal RNA (484 nucleotides) under uncultured bacterium. RNAcentral's name for it is "partial 16S ribosomal RNA". It matches the Rfam family "Bacterial small subunit ribosomal RNA", at positions 30 to 507 of the family's 1533-position model. The record is from RNAcentral.